AUGAACGCUGGCGGCGUGCCUAAUACAUGCAAGUCGAGCGAACAGAUGAGGAGCUUGCUCCGCUGACGUUAGCGGCGGACGGGUGAGUAACACGUGGAUAACCUACCUAUAAGACUGGGAUAACUUCGGGAAACCGGAGCUAAUACCGGAUAAUAUAUUGAACCGCAUGGUUCAAUAGUGAAAGACGGUUUUGCUGUCACUUAUAGAUGGAUCCGCGCCGCAUUAGCUAGUUGGUAAGGUAACGGCUUACCAAGGCAACGAUGCGUAGCCGACCUGAGAGGGUGAUCGGCCACACUGGAACUGAGACACGGUCCAGACUCCUACGGGAGGCAGCAGUAGGGAAUCUUCCGCAAUGGGCGAAAGCCUGACGGAGCAACGCCGCGUGAGUGAUGAAGGUCUUCGGAUCGUAAAACUCUGUUAUUAGGGAAGAACAAAUGUGUAAGUAACUAUGCACGUCUUGACGGUACCUAAUCAGAAAGCCACGGCUAACUACGUG
RNAcentral lists this ribosomal RNA (496 nucleotides) under uncultured bacterium. RNAcentral's name for it is "partial 16S ribosomal RNA". It matches the Rfam family "Bacterial small subunit ribosomal RNA", at positions 29 to 507 of the family's 1533-position model. The record is from RNAcentral.